This is a microRNA precursor of Peromyscus maniculatus bairdii (prairie deer mouse), 60 nucleotides long. NCBI's taxonomy places the organism in Eukaryota, Metazoa, Chordata, Mammalia, Rodentia, Cricetidae. The record is from Ensembl.
AAAGUGCACGCGCUUUGGGACAGUGAGGAAAAUAAUGUUCACAAAGCCCAUACACUUUCA